This 1597-nucleotide long non-coding RNA is filed under the name Linum usitatissimum (flax). Its description in RNAcentral is "long non-coding RNA (LUSI_LNC005812)". Lineage: Eukaryota; Viridiplantae; Streptophyta; Magnoliopsida; Malpighiales; Linaceae. The record is from RNAcentral.
UAUCGAAGAAAAAGACAAAAAAAGAAAAAAAAUCAAAAAAGAAAAAGAAAAAGAAGAAUCAAAGAAUCAGAAAAAAUUGAAGAAUAAGAAGAAGAAUCGAAUAAGAAAAAGAAUCAGAGAAGAAGAAAAAAAUGACUAAAAAAUGAAGAGCGAUGAACGAAUAAUGACGAACGAUGAACGUAGAAACCCAGGUGAGUUUCUUCAUUUUAUUAUUAUUGGACGAAAAGUUUAACAACAUAUUUUAUCUGCUUUUAGAUUUAACUGGGGAUAAAAUUCGUUGUUAGCUUUAACAGUGAAUUUUAUCCGCUAUUAGUUUUAACGGGGGAUAAAAUCUAUUGUUAGCUUAAUAGGGGANNNNNNNNAUUAGCGCAGAAAAAUGUGUGUUUUAUUAACCCAGCGGAUAAAAAUCCGUCGUUAGCUUAUUUACCAUUACUUAACCUAACAGAGGAUUUCUAUCCGCCGUUAGGAUUUCUAACAGCGGACUAUCCGCUGUUAAACAUGCAGUUUCUUAUAGUAUACUUCCCUGACUGAUUUAUUGAUUCAGUUGAAGGUCAUUUCUCUUCCGUUAUGUUCAGUAUUGGGAUAAAUGGUGGAGUUGUGGGUUACUAUGGAGAUAAGAAAGGUUUGAGACAAAAUGACCCUCUUUUCCUUGCCUUGUUUUUUAUUUGUAUGGAACUGUUACCUUGCUUGAUACUAAAAGCGACUUGUCAGGAUUCCAUUCCCUUUAACCUAAAGUGAAAAAAGCUUGAUAUUACACUGUUAUAUUUUGCUGAUUAUAUGACAUGAUCAUAAUUGGAAAGCUCCCUCUAUAAAUAAGCACUAUUUAUUAUUUGGUUGGUCUUGCAAAAUCGUCUGAUUACCAAAUUUCAGAUGCUGUCUUGGGAGUUUAGUUAAGACAUUUUAUGUCUCCUUUGAGAUUGAAAUUGAUGCAAUUGAACAUAUUUUUUAUGCUUGUGUUUAUAUUCAGCUGAAUAGGUCCUAUUGUUUUAGCAAUUCUAUCUCUUCUAUAAGUAAUGAGGUUGAAAUUGGAGCUCAAUAUAAGGGGUGCUCAUUUUGAUUGUUCAUUCAGGUUGUUUUGUAGGGCCAUGUUUAGUAGUAUAUAGAUCUUAUAUUUUCAAUUUUUAAUAUUUUCAUUUUUCAAUAUUUUUUUGAAUUAAACCAAGGGAGACUAGAUAAAUUCUAAAAGUUUUCACAAUUUUGUAACUCUUAGACUCUACUAGACUCGAACGGUUGGGAGAAGCCACCGGAAAAUCAAAAUGGAGGGGUCAUGCUAGAGUAUGGGAGAAAGAAGAGAUGGGUGAUUUCAGUGCCGCGUUAGCAUGGAGUCAGCGCCAUUUUGGGAGUUAGAAGGUGCAGUGUCAUUAAAAUAAAACUACGUCGUUUCGUUAGGUGCUGGAAAAAUAAGCUAAGGAUGUGAUCGAAGCUCGAUCCUAAACCAUUGAACUACUGGUUCAAUCCAUGCAACACCACUCAGGCCUAUCACCACACUCAACCGGAAUAUAAUGCAUAAUAAAUAGGGGAACUUCACAUGAAAAGGUUUCAAUUACCACCCUGCUAAGGGGUGGCAGUUUUAUCCAAAUUCGUGGAUAUUCAUUCG